GCUGGGUUUCCCGCCGUGUGUCUCUGCAUUGCCCUGUGUCUCUCCCCAUUCUCGGGCUCUUUCCUCCCCCUCCUGCCCCACUGACCCAUGGGCCUCACCUGGCCCAGUGACUCUGUGACCGCUUCACACUUUUGUCCCCUCACUCCCCUGGGCCCCGUCGGUGCACGAGCCCAACCCUUCCUGCUAUUUUCCUCGUCACUCUUCAGCCCCCUCUCUCAUAUCCUCUGAACCGGUUGACAAUACUCUUCGUGUUCUUUUUAAACUGCAAUUCCUGAACUACAAAUCCUGGCCGGGCGUGGUGGCUCAGUCCUGUAAUCCCAGCACUUCGGGAGGCCAAGGUGGGCGGAUCGCUUCAGGUCAGGAGUUUGAGACCAGCCUGGGCAACAUGGUGAAACCCCGCUCUCUACUAAAAUACAAAAAUUAGCCGGGCAUGAUAACAAGCGCCUGUAAUCCCAGCUACUUGGGAGGCUAACGCACGAGAAUCUUGGGGGGAAAAAACCCCAAAACUGUAAUUCCUGGCUGAGCCUCAUUGCCUGGUGGGAGAGCCUGCUGCUGCUGCUGGCCU
RNAcentral lists this small RNA (565 nucleotides) under Pongo abelii (Sumatran orangutan). RNAcentral's name for it is "processed transcript". Lineage: Eukaryota; Metazoa; Chordata; Mammalia; Primates; Hominidae. The record is from RNAcentral.